CAGUCGCCACGGUAAAACGGAGGGGGCUAGCGUUGUUCGGAAUUACUGGGCGUAAAGCGUACGUAGGCGGUUUUGUAAGUUAGAGGUGAAAGCCCGGAGCUCAACUCCGGAAUUGCCUUUAAGACUGCAUCACUUGAACGUCGGAGAGGUGAGUGGAAUUCCGAGUGUAGAGGUGAAAUUCGUAGAUAUUCGGAAGAACACCAGUGGCGAAGGCGGCUCACUGGACGACUGUUGACGCUGAGGUACGAAAGCGUGGGGAGCAAACAGGAUUAGAUACCCGUGUAGUCCCUGUCUCUUAUAC
This 301-nucleotide ribosomal RNA is filed under the name uncultured bacterium. RNAcentral describes it as "partial 16S ribosomal RNA". It matches the Rfam family "Bacterial small subunit ribosomal RNA", at positions 509 to 807 of the family's 1533-position model. The record is from RNAcentral.